Molecule: ribosomal RNA, 775 nt
Filed under: uncultured Neocallimastigales
Lineage: Eukaryota; Fungi; Neocallimastigomycota; Neocallimastigomycetes; Neocallimastigales
Description: partial large subunit ribosomal RNA
Rfam family: Eukaryotic large subunit ribosomal RNA
Source: RNAcentral
CAUAGCGACUAUCGUGGCAUAUCAAUAAGCGGAGGAAAAGAAACUAACUAGGAUUCCCUCAGUAACGGCGAGUGAAGCGGGAAGAGCUCAAAUUUGAAAUCUUCAAGGUUCUACCUUGACGAAUUGUAGUUUAAAGAAGUGUUUUCUGUUGGAGUUUUGGUAAAAGUUCUUUGGAAUAGGACAUCAUAGAGGGUGAGAAUCCCGUAUUUGACCAUUAUUUCCAACUUUGUGAUACACUUUCAAAGAAUCGGAUUGUUUGGGAAUGCAGUCCAAAAUGGGUGGUAAAUUUCAUCUAAAGCUAAAUACUGGCGAGAGACCGAUAGCGAACAAGUACCGUGAGGGAAAGAUGAAAAGAACUUUGAAAAGAGAGUUAAACAGUACGUGAAAUUGUCAAAAGGGAAGCGUUUGACACCAGUGUUGUUUUCUCGAAAAUCAAUUAAAAAUGGUGGGAUGUUGUGUUGUAUUGACUUUAUCAGCUUUCUGCACUUUUUUUCUUAUCUUUUUUAAUGCACUUUUCGUUUAACAAGUCAGCAUCAAUUUCUUUUGUUGUAAAAGAGUCAUUGGAAGGUGGCUUUUUCUUCGGAAAAAGUGUUUAUAGCCUUUGGCUUCUGCAAUCGGAGAGAUUGAGGUCUGCAGCGUAGAUCCUUCGGGGUUAGAUACAUUUGUGCUAAGCUAUAGCCUUUCAUAGACAACUUGUUGACUAUGAUCAGUCAUGUAGCUUACUCGCUUAUGCUAUUUUACCUACGCUUAGGAUGUUGAAGAUAUGCGCGACACG